CAACUAUCAAGCCCAAGCUUGGUAUUGGAUGCCACCUAGCUUGGUGCAUCUCAAAACUAGUGGCGGUGCCAUUUAGCUUUAAGCGUAGUAAAUUUCUCGCUCCUGGAGUUUUAAGUUGUGCCUGCUAGAACCCCAUAAUUUUAUA
Molecule: unclassified non-coding RNA, 145 nt
Filed under: uncultured Ascomycota
Lineage: Eukaryota; Fungi; Ascomycota
Description: sequence contains ITS2
Source: RNAcentral